UACGUAGGGGGGCUAGCGUUGUCCGGAAUCAUUGGGCGUAAAGCGCGCGUAGGCGGCCAGAUAAGUCCGGUGUGAAAGUCACAGGCUCAACCUGUGAAUGCCGCUGGAAACUGUCUGGCUAGAGUCCGGAAGAGGCGAGUGGAAUUCCUGGUGUAGCGGUGAAAUGCGCAGAUAUCAGGAGGAACACCGAUGGCGAAGGCAGCUCGCUGGGACGGUACUGACGCUGAGACGCGAAAGCGUGGGGAGCAAACAGG
RNAcentral lists this ribosomal RNA (254 nucleotides) under uncultured bacterium. Its description in RNAcentral is "partial 16S ribosomal RNA". It matches the Rfam family "Bacterial small subunit ribosomal RNA", at positions 524 to 776 of the family's 1533-position model. The record is from RNAcentral.